AGUUUGAUCAUGGCUCAGGACGAACGCUGGCGGCGUGCUUAACACAUGCAAGUCGAACGGAAAGGCCCCUUCGGGGGUACUCGAGUGGCGAACGGGUGAGUAACACGUGGGUGAUCUGCCCCCAACUUUGGGAUAAGCCUGGGAAACUGGGUCUAAUACCGGAUAUGACCACAUUUCGCAUGGGGUGUGGUGGAAAGCUUUUGCGGUUGGGGAUGGGCCCGCGGCCUAUCAGCUUGUUGGUGGGGUAAUGGCCUACCAAGGCGACGACGGGUAGCCGACCUGAGAGGGUGAUCGGCCACACUGGGACUGAGACACGGCCCAGACUCCUACGGGAGGCAGCAGUGGGGAAUAUUGCACAAUGGGCGGAAGCCUGAUGCAGCGACGCCGCGUGAGGGAUGACGGCCUUCGGGUUGUAAACCUCUUUCACCAGGGACGAAGCGUGAGUGACGGUACCUGGAGAAGAAGCACCGGCCAACUACGUGCCAGCAGCCGCGGUAAUACGUAGGGUGCGAGCGUUGUCCGGAAUUACUGGGCGUAAAGAGCUCGUAGGCGGUUUGUCGCGUCGUCUGUGAAAUUCUGCAACUCAAUUGUAGGCGUGCAGGCGAUACGGGCAGACUUGAGUACUACAGGGGAGACUGGAAUUCCUGGUGUAGCGGUGAAAUGCGCAGAUAUCAGGAGGAACACCGGUGGCGAAGGCGGGUCUCUGGGUAGUAACUGACGCUGAGGAGCGAAAGCGUGGGUAGCGAACAGGAUUAGAUACCCUGGUAGUCCACGCCGUAAACGGUGGGUACUAGGUGUGGGUUCCUUUUCACGGGAUCCGUGCCGUAGCUAACGCAUUAAGUAC
Molecule: ribosomal RNA, 844 nt
Filed under: Gordonia sp. MOLA 1583
Lineage: Bacteria; Bacillati; Actinomycetota; Actinomycetes; Mycobacteriales; Gordoniaceae
Also listed under: 3 other names
Description: bacterial SSU rRNA
Rfam family: Bacterial small subunit ribosomal RNA
Source: RNAcentral